Long non-coding RNA from Danio aesculapii, 869 nucleotides. RefSeq lists it as uncharacterized. The record is from RefSeq and is a predicted model, not a curated record. The transcript is spliced from 4 exons. Lineage: Eukaryota; Metazoa; Chordata; Actinopteri; Cypriniformes; Danionidae.
AGCAAGAUGACACGACGUUUUUGACUGAAUGUUUUUACCUCAGAGAAAAAUUGCCACGCGAGGAGAACAACAGACAGGAUAAGAACAAAACGACAUAGAAAUCCAACCACAAGGUGAGUCCAUCAUGGCCUCCAGCAUCUCCAGGAAGAGUUUGUGCAUUGGCACGCCGCCACGGGUUUUGAUGCUGUAGAAGGUGGUGAGGGCUCGACCGGCUGUCUGCCUGAGAAGAGGCAGGGUGAGGAGGAGACGUCCUGCGCGCUGAGGGUCAUCUGGACGCCGCUGGACCUCGAGCUCCAGAAGAGCCUGAUGAAGCAGGUCUCGGAGCUUCUGCACCGCCUCCAUGUCCUCGAUGUACACCGAAUCUGAGAGAGGGGAAGAACAGGAGAAAUCUGAGAUAAGUCAUGUGUGCCAGCCUUUGAACUUCAACUACAGUAUGCAUAUGCAUGCAACUGCAGAGCAAAGACUGUCGGAGCAGGCCUCAAAAGGUGACCUUGUUCAGCAAGCCUUGACAAUUGAAAGGUUAAUUGCUCAACUGGAUUACAACUUCUUAAGGGCAGAGAUUCCCAGUCACGUCCAAGAGGUGGUCAGCAGCACUUUUAAAGUGUUUCAGUAUAUAUGAUAUCAACACAAUCAUUAGAUAUAGACUUAUUUAAAUAGCACAUAUGUAACCUACAUAGUAGACGUAUAUAUCGCCAGUAUUAAUGUUUACUUGGAUUAAUGCUUGAUACACUUUUUGUACAUGCAAUUCAGCCUUGACCUGUCUGUGAACUCUGAAAUCAUUUACAGCUGAGUUUAAAGGUGAAACACCAAACUCUACAUUUGUAUUUCAUGAUCAUCGAUAAUAAAUCUGCAAGUAAAAAAACAAAUAA